CCUACGGGAUGCAGCAGUGAGGAAUAUUGGUCAAUGGACGAGAGUCUGAACCAGCCAAGUAGCGUGAAGGAUGAAUGCCCUAUGGGUUGUAAACUUCUUUUAUAUGGGAAUAACAUGUUCCACGUGUGGGAUUUUGUAUGUACCAUAUGAAUAAGGAUCGGCUAACUCCGUGCCAGCAGCCGCGGUAAUACGGAGGAUCCGAGCGUUAUCCGGAUUUAUUGGGUUUAAAGGGAGCGUAGGUGGGUUGUUAAGUCAGUUGUGAAAGUUUGCGGCUCAACCGUAAAAUUGCAGUUGAAACUGGCAGUCUUGAGUACAGUAGAGGUGGGCGGAAUUCGUGGUGUAGCGGUGAAAUGCUUAGAUAUCACGAAGAACUCCGAUUGCGAAGGCAGUUCACUGGACUGCAACUGACACUGAGGCUCGAAAGUGUGGGUAUCAAACAGGAUUAGAUACCCGAGUAGUC
RNAcentral lists this ribosomal RNA (460 nucleotides) under uncultured bacterium. Its description in RNAcentral is "partial 16S ribosomal RNA". It matches the Rfam family "Bacterial small subunit ribosomal RNA", at positions 338 to 795 of the family's 1533-position model. The record is from RNAcentral.